GUGAGGAAUAUUGGUCAAUGGGCGGGAGCCUGAACCAGCCAAGUCGCGUGAAGGAAGAAGGAUCUAUGGUUCGUAAACUUCUUUUGCAGGGGAAUAAAGUGCAGGACGUGUCCUGUUUUGUAUGUACCCUGAGAAUAAGGAUCGGCUAACUCCGUGCCAGCAGCCGCGGUAAUACGGAGGAUCCGAGCGUUAUCCGGAUUUAUUGGGUUUAAAGGGUGCGUAGGUGGUUUGAUAAGUCAGCGGUGAAAGUUUGUAGCUUAACUGUAAAAAUGCCGUUGAAACUGUCGGACUUGAGUGUAAAUGAGGUAGGCGGAAUGCGUGGUGUAGCGGUGAAAUGCAUAGAUAUCACGCAGAACUCCGAUUGCGAAGGCAGCUUACUAAGCUACAACUGACACUGAAGCACGAAAGCGUGGGGAUCAAACAGGAUUAGAAAACCCAGUAGUCC
This 445-nucleotide ribosomal RNA is filed under the name uncultured bacterium. Its description in RNAcentral is "partial 16S ribosomal RNA". It matches the Rfam family "Bacterial small subunit ribosomal RNA", at positions 354 to 796 of the family's 1533-position model. The record is from RNAcentral.